RNAcentral lists this ribosomal RNA (719 nucleotides) under uncultured Bacillota bacterium. Its description in RNAcentral is "bacterial SSU rRNA". It matches the Rfam family "Bacterial small subunit ribosomal RNA", at positions 62 to 760 of the family's 1533-position model. The record is from RNAcentral. Lineage: Bacteria; Bacillati; Bacillota.
UCGAACGCGAAAGUUCCCUUCGGGGAGCGAGUAGAGUGGCGCACGGGUGAGUAACACGUGGGUAAUUUACCUUCGGGUGGGGAAUAACAGUCGGAAACGACUGCUAAUACCGCAUGAUGCAGCGGCACCACAUGGUGACAGUUGUUAAAGCGGGGGAUCGCAAGACCUCGCGCCUGAAGAGAAGCCCGCGGCAGAUUAGCUAGUUGGUAAGGUAAUGGCUUACCAAGGCGACGAUCUGUAGCCGGCCUGAGAGGGCGGUCGGCCACACUGACACUGAAUAACGGGUCAGACUCCUACGGGAGGCAGCAGUCGGGAAUUUUGGGCAAUGGGCGAAAGCCUGACCCAGCAACGCCGCGUGAAGGAUGAAGUAUUUCGGUAUGUAAACUUCACAAGAAUGGGAAGAAUAAGUGGGGGAUAAUACCCCCCAUGAUGACGGUACCAUUUGUAAGCUCCGGCUAACUCCGUGCCAGCAGCCGCGGUAAUACGGGGGGAGCAAGCGUUGUUCGGAUUUACUGGGCGUAAAGGGCGCGUANGCGGCGCAACAAGUCNCUUGUGAAAUCUCCGGGCUUAACCCGGAGCGGUCAAGUGAUACUGUCGUGCUAGAGUGCAGAAGGGGCAACUGGAAUUCUCGGUGUAGCGGUGAAAUGCGUAGAUAUCGAGAGGAACACCUGCGGCGAAGGCGGGUUGCUGGGCUGACACUGACGCUGAGGCGCGAAAGC